GGGGAUGUGGCUCAGUGGUAGAGCUCUUGUCUUACAUGCACAAGGUUCUGGGUUUGAUCCCCAGCAUCACAC
Cavia porcellus (domestic guinea pig) is the source of this 72-nucleotide transfer RNA. It matches the Rfam family "tRNA". From Rfam's summary of the family: Transfer RNA (tRNA) molecules are approximately 80 nucleotides in length. Their secondary structure includes four short double-helical elements and three loops (D, anti-codon, and T loops). NCBI's taxonomy places the organism in Eukaryota, Metazoa, Chordata, Mammalia, Rodentia, Caviidae. The record is from Rfam.